RNAcentral lists this ribosomal RNA (146 nucleotides) under uncultured bacterium. RNAcentral's name for it is "partial 16S ribosomal RNA". It matches the Rfam family "Bacterial small subunit ribosomal RNA", at positions 335 to 498 of the family's 1533-position model. The record is from RNAcentral.
ACUCCUACGGGAGGCAGCAGUGGGGAAUCUUAGACAAUGGGGGCAACCCUGAUCUAGCCAUGCCGCGUGAGUGAUGAAGGACCUAGGGUUGUAAAGCUCUUUCAGCUGGGAAGAUAAUGACGGUACCAGCAGAAGAAGCCCCGGCU